This 443-nucleotide ribosomal RNA is filed under the name uncultured bacterium. RNAcentral's name for it is "bacterial SSU rRNA". It matches the Rfam family "Bacterial small subunit ribosomal RNA", at positions 91 to 518 of the family's 1533-position model. The record is from RNAcentral.
UAGAGCGGCGGACGGGUGAGUAACACGUGGACAAUCUGCCCCCCGGCCCGGGAUAGCCCAGGGAAACCUGGAUUAAUACCGGAUGAGACGGGACCCGCGAUGGCGGGAUCCGGGAAAGGCGCUGCGGCGCCGCCGGGGGAUGAGUCUGCGUCCCAUUAGCUAGACGGCGGGGUAACGGCCCACCGUGGCGACGAUGGGUAGCCGGCCUGAGAGGGUGGACGGCCACAUUGGAACUGAGACACGGUCCAGACUCCUACGGGAGGCAGCAGCUAAGAAUCUUCCGGCAAUGGGCGAAAGCCUGACGGAGCGAACCGCCGCGUGAACGAAGAAGGCCGUGAGGUUGUAAAGUUCUUUUCGGGAGGGGGAACAACCGUGGCAGGGAAUGGCCGCGGGAUGACGUGAAUCCCGGAAUAAGCCCCGGCUAACUACGUGCCAGCCGCCGC